GACGAACGCUGGCGGCGUGCCUAAUACAUGCAAGUAGAACGCACAGUUUAUACCGUAGCUUGCUACACCAUAGACUGUGAGUUGCGAACGGGUGAGUAACGCGUAGGUAACCUGCCUGGUAGCGGGGGAUAACUAUUGGAAACGAUAGCUAAUACCGCAUAAUAUUGAUUAUUGCAUGAUAAUUGAUUGAAAGAUGCUAUUGCAUCACUACCAGAUGGACCUGCGUUGUAUUAGCUAGUAGGUGAGGUAACGGCUCACCUAGGCGACGAUACAUAGCCGACCUGAGAGGGUGAUCGGCCACACUGGGACGGAGACACGGCCCAGACUCCUACGGGAGGCAGCAGUAGGGAAUCUUCGGCAAUGGACGAAAGUCUGACCGAGCAACGCCGCGUGAGUGAAGAAGGUUUUCGGAUCGUAAAGCUCUGUUGUAAGAGAAGAACGGGUGUGAGAGUGGAAAGUUCACACUGUGACGGUAUCUGACCAGAAAGGGACGGCUAACUACGUG
Molecule: ribosomal RNA, 505 nt
Filed under: uncultured bacterium
Lineage: Bacteria
Description: partial 16S ribosomal RNA
Rfam family: Bacterial small subunit ribosomal RNA
Source: RNAcentral